Molecule: transfer RNA, 86 nt
Filed under: Candidatus Kentrum sp. FW
Lineage: Bacteria; Pseudomonadati; Pseudomonadota; Gammaproteobacteria
Description: Candidatus Kentron sp. FW tRNA_Ser_GCT
Rfam family: tRNA
About the family: Transfer RNA (tRNA) molecules are approximately 80 nucleotides in length. Their secondary structure includes four short double-helical elements and three loops (D, anti-codon, and T loops). Further hydrogen bonds mediate the characteristic L-shaped molecular structure. tRNAs have two regions of fundamental functional importance: the anti-codon, which is responsible for specific mRNA codon recognition, and the 3' end, to which the tRNAs corresponding amino acid is attached (by aminoacyl-tRNA synthetases). tRNAs cope with the degeneracy of the genetic code in two manners: having more than one tRNA (with a specific anti-codon) for a particular amino acid; and 'wobble' base-pairing, i.e. permitting non-standard base-pairing at the 3rd anti-codon position.
Source: RNAcentral
GGAGAGAUGGCCGAGCGGCUGAAGGCGCUCCCCUGCUAAGGGAGUAUGGGUCACACCCAUCGUGGGUUCGAAUCCCACUCUCUCCG